UUGCCAUAGAGUUUGAUCCUGGCUCAGAAUCAACGCUGGCGGCGUGCCUAACACAUGCAAGUCGAACGCGAAAGGGGCUUCGGCCCUGAGUAGAGAGGCGAACGGGUGAGUAACACGUGGGUGAUCUACCUCUGAGUGGGGGAUAACCUUCCGAAAGGAGGGCUAAAACCGCAUGACGUCCCGGGUUUGAAGACCUGGAUACCAAAGUCGGGGACCGCAAGGCCCGAUGCUUGGAGAGGAGCCCGCGCCUGAUUAGCUAGUUGGUGGGGUAAUGGCUCACCAAGGCGACGAUCAGUAGCCGGCCUGAGAGGGCGGACGGCCACACUGGGACUGAGACACGGCCCAGACUCCUACGGGAGGCAGCAGUGGGGAAUUGUUCGCAAUGGGCGCAAGCCUGACGACGCAACGCCGCGUGGAGGAUGAAGGUCUU
This 430-nucleotide ribosomal RNA is filed under the name uncultured Acidobacteriota bacterium. RNAcentral describes it as "bacterial SSU rRNA". It matches the Rfam family "Bacterial small subunit ribosomal RNA", at positions 1 to 418 of the family's 1533-position model. The record is from RNAcentral. Lineage: Bacteria; Pseudomonadati; Acidobacteriota.